This 937-nucleotide unclassified non-coding RNA is filed under the name Daphnia pulex (common water flea). Its description in RNAcentral is "uncharacterized LOC124203769, transcript variant X5". Lineage: Eukaryota; Metazoa; Arthropoda; Branchiopoda; Diplostraca; Daphniidae. The record is from RNAcentral.
AGAUUAGACAAGAAAAUGUUUCUUAUUCUUAAUUUGGGUUCUGUCGCUUCUGAAAUAAAGGAUUGUCUUGAGGCAACUGAAGCAAUAAUGGCCGAACAAGGAGCUUACUCAGUGAAUUCUGAACUGGAUAAUAUAAAUAAUCAAAUUGAACAACUUUACCGAGACAAUCAAAGGACCAUGAGUUCUAAACUCCAGAAUGAGCUACGAGGAUUUUAUCAAAUGAAAGAAGUGGUUAUCCAAAAUCACUAUCAGCAUGUUCUUGAUACGAAGGAAAAAAGCCUGGAUCUUAUGUUGAAGGAAGUGGAAAAACUUGUACUGAAAUUCCAUUCUUUCAGUGCAAAUGAAACCGCGAAUCUGCUUUCGAUCUUUAGCGAACAUCAUAGACUUAUAAAUGUGAAAUUAAUUGAAGCCAUUGCUGAAGAAGAGAAAUCCAGAUUAGUAAUAGAAAACAUGAGACAAGAAAUUAAGAUGCUAAAACACCAACUGCUUGAAAAGUCAGCAGAACUCCAGAGAAAAGAUAAGAGGUUGAUUGAACUGGAGAUAGCUGUUGAAAAUGCAAACCAACCACCACAGUUAUCUAACACUGAUCAGGCUUUGGAAACUCAAGCAGAAAGAAAACUGAAGCAUAUUUCAGAUAUUGAAAUGGAUAGCUUUAGCGAUCGAGAAGAAACACCGGCAACAGUUGAUAGUGAUAGCAGCAGCGUUGAUAGCAGCUAUCAUUCUUCUGAAUCACGCAUUCGUCACUCUCGCAAGACACACAAAAGAAACGAUACGCCAUGAAAUUUUGGAACGUGGUAAUAGAAGAAUGGAGUUUGAGGCCUCUUGUAAACCAAAGAGCAUUUUAAAUAACGCAACUCUCUAAAGAGAAACAAAAUUCUAUUUCAGCUUUUUAGUCCCUACUUGGAAUGAAACGCGUAAAUACAUGUAUACACUUACA